GCGAGAGUAGUUCAGUUGGCUAGAAUGUCUCCUUGCCAAGGAGAAGGUCGCGGGUUCGAGUCCCGUCUCUCGCUCCA
This 77-nucleotide transfer RNA is filed under the name Candidatus Shapirobacteria bacterium RIFOXYA1_FULL_39_17. RNAcentral's name for it is "tRNA-Gly". It matches the Rfam family "tRNA". From Rfam's summary of the family: Transfer RNA (tRNA) molecules are approximately 80 nucleotides in length. Lineage: Bacteria; Candidatus Shapironibacteriota. RNAcentral also lists the same sequence under 3 other names. The record is from RNAcentral.